RNAcentral lists this ribosomal RNA (460 nucleotides) under uncultured bacterium. Its description in RNAcentral is "partial 16S ribosomal RNA". It matches the Rfam family "Bacterial small subunit ribosomal RNA", at positions 338 to 795 of the family's 1533-position model. The record is from RNAcentral.
CCUACGGGAGGCAGCAGUGAGGAAUAUUGGUCAAUGGACGAGAGUCUGAACCAGCCAAGUAGCGUGAAGGAUGACUGCCCUAUGGGUUGUAAACUUCUUUUAUAAAGGAAUAAAACGCGGCACGUGUGCCUUUUUGCAUGUACUUUAUGAAUAAGGAUCGGCUAACUCCGUGCCAGCAGCCGCGGUAAUACGGGGGAUCCGAGCGUUAUCCGGAUUUGUUGGGUUUAAGGGGAGCGUAGAUGGGUUGUUAAGUCAGUUGUGAAAGUUUGCGGCUCAACCGUAAAAUUGCAAGUGAUACUGGCAGUCUUGAGUACAGUUGAGGUAGGCGGAAUUCGUGGUGUAGCGGUGAAAUGCUUAGAUAUCACGAAGAACCCCGAUUGCGAAGGCAGCUUACUAAACUGUGACUGACAUUGAUGCUCGAAAGUGUGGGUAUCAAACAGGAUUAGAUACCCCAGUAGUC